CACGAGACAUGUCCCAGGAUUCUUAAUGAUAGACAGAUAGGGUUAUAAGUUAUAAUAGGUUAUAGUUAUAAAUACAAUAAAGUCAAACUUACUCUGAACUAUCCGUGAUUAAAAAAAAAAAAAAUCUAAUUCAACUCACUUUUAAAAAAAAGAAGAAGAAGAGGAAUGAGUCUGUCCUGGUGGCUCACCUGCAACGCUGAAUUCACAGUUUCUGGUUUAUAAGAUCUUUAUUCCAGUCUUUAUUCUGCCGACUGUCAAAUAAAGUCUAAAUGUGGAGUCAAGCUUCAUUUUAAAAGCCACGUGAGUGACAUUAGUUCACGGCACCGCCUGUACAUUCUGUUUCUUUGGUUUCAUAAAAUGACCUCUCUCUGUGAAGUGUGUAAUAGAGAUUGCAGACCACAAGAUGGCACUCAUCCAGUUCACAUCUUAAAAAUGUAAUGGCUGCUUUGCUCCAUAUUGAACAACAGGCUGUCGUGAUCACUUCACCGCGGAUGAGGAUAUUAAUUACCCUAUCAGUGCACAAAACGGGACUUAGGGGAUGGCCAGAGGACUCCUUGAGUUAGCUGGAAGUUCUUGACCUGUUGCCUACCUUAGGUCAAGUGAACAGCAUCCAAGAAUACGGAACAAACUCUCAGGAACCUGAUGACGAACAGGCAGAUGACUGAAAGACACGACUUCAGACCAUUUAAAGUCUGUUUUUUUUUUUAUUAAAAGUUCUUGUUUGCACAUAAGCACAGCCUGGAUAAGAAUUGUGUUAUAGUAAUACACUAUGGUCUUGUAAAAUAUAAAUGCUUCAAUUUAGUCUUGGCUUUAUAACACAAAGGGGACAUGGUUCUGAAGAGGAAUUGCGGGAAAAUAUGCCAUAAAUACCAGGUACUGGAGCAGUUCUAUGGAACUAAUUACCAUAUAGAGAGUUUGAAAGCAAAGAACGCAGUGAAAUCAUAAUCUUGAGUUUCUUUUUAUGGCAAUGUGCCUGUAUGACCAUGUCAUUCAUUAAAUUGAAAAACGUACGACUACUUCUUUGAUCGCUUUCCAAUCACAUAGUAGUUAUGUAGAAUGUCCAUGAAAAUGCUAUACGCAGCAGUUCUCCUUAACUUAACCAGAAGAAUUUUAACAUGCAGAAACCAAUGCUUGCAAACAUGGUCAUACUUCAAUGCUUGAGAUAUAAACUUUGUCUUU
RNAcentral lists this long non-coding RNA (1179 nucleotides) under Scophthalmus maximus (turbot). RNAcentral's name for it is "lncRNA (ENSSMAG00000031196.1)". The record is from RNAcentral. Lineage: Eukaryota; Metazoa; Chordata; Actinopteri; Pleuronectiformes; Scophthalmidae.